GAUGGUAAAAAUUUUCACUUACAAUGAAGAGCACCUAUUAGGCAUCUUUUUAGUUUGAGGGACUGUUAA
RNAcentral lists this transfer RNA (69 nucleotides) under Gammarus gonggaensis. RNAcentral's name for it is "tRNA-Val". Lineage: Eukaryota; Metazoa; Arthropoda; Malacostraca; Amphipoda; Gammaridae. The record is from RNAcentral.